GUUUUUAUAGUGUAUCUAACAUUUUACUUUUUCGUCGUAAAGCUGAAAUAAUUAAUAUUUCUAAAAACA
This 69-nucleotide transfer RNA is filed under the name Longpotamon yangtsekiense. RNAcentral describes it as "tRNA-Glu". Lineage: Eukaryota; Metazoa; Arthropoda; Malacostraca; Decapoda; Potamidae. The record is from RNAcentral.